RNAcentral lists this ribosomal RNA (440 nucleotides) under uncultured bacterium. RNAcentral describes it as "partial 16S ribosomal RNA". It matches the Rfam family "Bacterial small subunit ribosomal RNA", at positions 338 to 795 of the family's 1533-position model. The record is from RNAcentral.
CCUACGGGGGGCAGCAGUGGGGAAUAUUGCACAAUGGGGGAAACCCUGAUGCAGCGACGCCGCGUGAGGGAAGAAGUAAUUCGUUAUGUAAAGCUCUAUCAGCAGGGAAGAAAAUGACGGUACCUGAGUAAGAAGCCCCGGCUAAAUACGUUCCAGCAGCCGCAGUAAUACGUAGGGGGCAAGCGUUAUCCGGAUUGACUGGGUGUAAAGGGAGCGUAGACGGCAGUGCAGGUCUGGAGUGAAAGGCGGGGGCUCAACCCGCGGAGUGCUCUGGAAACGGUACGGCUGGAGUGCAGGAGAGGUAAGUGGAAUGCGUAGUGUAGCGGUGAAAUGCGUAGAUAUUAGGAGGAACACCAGUGGCGAAGGCGGCUUACUGGACUGUAACUGACGUUGAGGCUCGAAAGCGUGGGGAGCAAACAGGAUUAGAUACCCGAGUAGCC